UACGAAGGUGGCAAGCGUUGCUCGGAAUCACUGGGCAUAAAGCGCGCGUAGGCGGCUUGGUAAGUCGGAUGUGAAAUCCCUCAGCUCAACUGAGGAACUGCGUCCGAUACUGCUUUGCUUGAGGCCUGGAGGGGGGAACGGAAUUCCCGGUGGAGCGGUGAAAUGCGUAGAUAUCGGGAGGAACGCCGGAGGCGAAAGCGGUUCCCUGGUCAGGUUCUGACGCUGAGGCGCGAAAGCUAGGGGAGCAAACGGG
RNAcentral lists this ribosomal RNA (253 nucleotides) under uncultured bacterium. RNAcentral's name for it is "partial 16S ribosomal RNA". It matches the Rfam family "Bacterial small subunit ribosomal RNA", at positions 524 to 776 of the family's 1533-position model. The record is from RNAcentral.